CCUACGGGAGGCAGCAGUGGGGAAUAUUGGACAAUGGGGGGAACCCUGAUCCAGCGACGCCGCGUGAGUGAAGAAGUAUUUCGGUAUGUAAAGCUCUAUCAGCAGGGAAGAAAGAAAUGACGGUACCUGACUAAGAAGCCCCGGCUAACUACGUGCCAGCAGCCGCGGUAAUACGUAGGGGGCAAGCGUUAUCCGGAUUUACUGGGUGUAAAGGGAGCGUAGACGGCGAUGCAAGUCUGAAGUGAAAGGCGGGGGCCCAACCCCUGGACUGCUUUGGAAACUGUAUGGCUGGAGUGCAGGAGAGGUAAGUGGAAUUCCUAGUGUAGCGGUGAAAUGCGUAGAUAUCAGGAGGAACACCGGUGGCGAAGGCGGCCUGCUGGACUGCAACUGACGUUGAGGCCCGAAAGCGUGGGGAGCAAACAGGAUUAGAUACCCUGGUAGUC
Molecule: ribosomal RNA, 443 nt
Filed under: uncultured bacterium
Lineage: Bacteria
Description: partial 16S ribosomal RNA
Rfam family: Bacterial small subunit ribosomal RNA
Source: RNAcentral